GAUGGGGGGACGGGGAGGGGGAGAAGAGGUGUCUCUGUGUGUUUUCCACCCACCCUACUGCUUCUCACAGGGGAAAUUUCAACUUUCUCAGUUUGCUGUUUGCAGGAAGGGGCCGGGAGUCUCCCAGGAGACCCUGGCACAGCUCCCCUGAGACUCCCCGGGACAGGCAGGCCUGUUCAGAGGCAAUGUCGAUGCCGUUCUCCACUGGGAUCUGCAGGGGAGGCUAAAGUAGCACGACUGGCCGCAGAGGUGCACUGGCCUAGAAAGUUCCUAGAUCCCCCAUCACAGCCCAACCAACCAAAUAAACAAAUAAACGGUGGCACACAGCCGCUCCCUGCCCUUCCUCCCCCAGGUCAGAAAGAUGUCAGCUCUGCUCAGGCCUGCUGCCACCAGAGGCUGGCAGAGCAGACUGCUCUUCUGUCCCCCCCUCUGCCAGCGCCACCUCCGGAGGCCCCGCUGACACUGCCUUUGUGCCUUUCUUUCUCUUUGCAGUCUGUACCCAUCCCUGCCAAGGCCCGCUCCUGGGGCCUGCCCUGCGCCUCAUCCUCGGCAUGUUUUGGAGGUGCAUCUGGAUUUCUGGAGGAGCUGAGGGGCUGCCUCAGCUUCCAGAGGAGUGGCGAGUCGGGAUGGCCAGGCCUGAGGUUCAUCCAUUUUUAGCUGCUGCUGCAAGAGCUGUCACAUCACUGUGAGGCUUUCAGCAAAGAAGCCAGGGGAAGCCCUGAGCCUUGCCCUUGACUUCUAAUGUGCUACAGACUCCUUAGCCAAGUCACUUGGUCACUGUGAGUGUCUAUUCCUAGACUUUCUAUGAAGAUCACUAAUAUUUAACUUGCUUUGAGAAGUGCUUCAAGAUUCUUGGGUGAAAGCUCCUAUGCAAGUUUCAAAUUCUUUCCAAAAAUUAAUAUCUCUAUGUUUUUUACCCUUUACGAGUGUGACUGAGCCUGUAUGUACCCCUUUAAGUCUUUAAACAGUGGGAUCCUUUCAUAGUGACUUAGGAUAUGAUGUAAUGUCUAUGCAUUGUUAACAGGACCAAAGUGUAAUAAACAUUCAUUUUAAUGAACA
Molecule: long non-coding RNA, 1059 nt
Filed under: Parus major (Great Tit)
Lineage: Eukaryota; Metazoa; Chordata; Aves; Passeriformes; Paridae
Description: lncRNA (ENSPMJG00000002183.1)
Source: RNAcentral